GUGCCAGCAGCCGCGGUAAAACGUAGGAGGCGAGCGUUAUCCGGAUUUACUGGGUGUAAAGCGCGUGCAGGCGGUUGGUUAAGUUGGGUGUGAAAGCUCCUGGCUCAACUGGGAGAGGUCGCUCAAGACUGGCCAACUGGAGAGCAGUAGGGGAAGGUGGAAUUCCGGGUGUAGUGGUGAAAUGCGUAGAUAUCCGGAGGAACACCAGUGGCGAAAGCGGCCUUCUGGACUGCAUCUGACGCUCAGACGCGAAAGCUAGGGGAGCAAACGGGAUUAGAAACCCCAGUAGUCC
Molecule: ribosomal RNA, 292 nt
Filed under: uncultured bacterium
Lineage: Bacteria
Description: partial 16S ribosomal RNA
Rfam family: Bacterial small subunit ribosomal RNA
Source: RNAcentral